Molecule: ribosomal RNA, 465 nt
Filed under: uncultured bacterium
Lineage: Bacteria
Description: bacterial SSU rRNA
Rfam family: Bacterial small subunit ribosomal RNA
Source: RNAcentral
ACGAACGCUGGCGGCGUGCCUAACACAUGCAAGUCGAACGGGGUCCAUGGGAGCUUGCUCCCAGAAGACCUAGUGGCGAACGGGUGAGUAACACGUGAGGAACCUACCCCGGAGUGGGGAAUAACCCGAGGAAACUCGAGCUAAUACCGCAUACCUUCUGCUGAUCACAUGGUCGGCAGAAGAAAGAAUUUCGCUCUGGGAGGGCCUCGCGGCCUAUCAGCUAGUUGGUGAGGUAACGGCCCACCAAGGCAACGACGGGUAGCUGGUUUGAGAGAACGAUCAGCCACACUGGAACUGAGACACGGUCCAGACUUCUACGGGAGGCAGCAGUGGGGAAUCUUGCGCAAUGGGCGAAAGCCUGACGCAGCAACGCCGCGUGCGGGAUGACGGCCUUCGUGGUUGUAAACCGCUUUCAGCAGGGACGAAAAUGACGGUACCUGCAGAGGAAGCCCCGGCUAACUACGU